RNAcentral lists this ribosomal RNA (253 nucleotides) under uncultured bacterium. Its description in RNAcentral is "partial 16S ribosomal RNA". It matches the Rfam family "Bacterial small subunit ribosomal RNA", at positions 524 to 776 of the family's 1533-position model. The record is from RNAcentral.
UACGAAGGGGGCUAGCGUUGUUCGGAAUUACUGGGCGUAAAGGGCGCGCAGGCGGCCGCUCAAGUCAGAUGUGAAAGCCCCGGGCUCAACCUGGGAACUGCAUUUGAUACUGAGUGGCUAGAGUUCGGGAGAGGAGAGUGGAAUUCCCAGUGUAGAGGUGAAAUUCGUAGAUAUUGGGAAGAACACCGGUGGCGAGGGCGGCUCUCUGGACCGAUACUGACGCUGAGGCGCGAAAGCGUGGGGAGCGAACAGG